CCUACGGGAGGCAGCAGUGAGGAAUAUUGGUCAAUGGACGAGAGUCUGAACCAGCCAAGUAGCGUGAAGGAUGACUGCCCUAUGGGUUGUAAACUUCUUUUAUAUGGGAAUAAAACGUUCCACGUGUGGGAUUUUGUAUGUACCAUAUGAAUAAGGAUCGGCUAACUCCGUGCCAGCAGCCGCGGUAAUACGGAGGAUCCGAGCGUUAUCCGGAUUUAUUGGGUUUAAAGGGAGCGUAGGUGGAUUGUUAAGUCAGUUGUGAAAGUUUGCGGCUCAACCGUAAAAUUGCAGUUGAAACGGGCAGUCUUGAGUACAGUAGAGGUGGGCGGAAGUCGUGGUGUAGCGGUGAAAUGCUUAGAUAUCACGAAGAACUCCGAUUGCGAAGGCAGUUCACUGGACUGCAACUGACACUGAGGCUCGAAAGUGUGGGUAUCAAACAGGAUUAGAUACCCCGGUAGUC
RNAcentral lists this ribosomal RNA (460 nucleotides) under uncultured bacterium. Its description in RNAcentral is "partial 16S ribosomal RNA". It matches the Rfam family "Bacterial small subunit ribosomal RNA", at positions 338 to 795 of the family's 1533-position model. The record is from RNAcentral.